GGGGAUUUGCCAAUGGGCGCAAGCCUGAUGCAGCCUGCCGNGUGUGUGAAGAAGGCCUUCGGGUUGUAAAGCACUUUCAGUCAGGAGGAAAGGUUAGUAGUUAAUACCUGCUAGCUGUGACGUUACUGACAGAAGAAGCACCGGCUAACUCCGUGCCAGCAGCCGCGGUAAUACGGAGGGUGCGAGCGUUAAUCGGAAUUACUGGGCGUAAAGCGUACGCAGGCGGUUUGUUAAGCGAGAUGUGAAAGCCCCGGGCUCAACCUGGGAACUGCAUUUCGAACUGGCAAACUAGAGUGUGAUAGAGGGUGGUAGAAUUUCAGGUGUAGCGGUGAAAUGCGUAGAGAUCUGAAGGAAUACCGAUGGCGAAGGCAGCCACCUGGGUCAACACUGACGCUCAUGUACGAAAGCGUGGGGAGCAAACAGGAUUAGAUACCCUGGUAGUCCACGCCGUAAACGAUGUCUACUAGAAGCUCGGAGCCUCGGCUCUGUUUUUCAAAGCUAACGCAUUAAGUAGACCGCCUGGGGAGUACGGCCGCAAGGUUAAAACUCAAAUGAAUUGACGGGGGCCCGCACAAGCGGUGGAGCAUGUGGUUUAAUUCGAUGCAACGCGAAGAACCUUACCUACACUUGACAUACAGAGAACUUACCAGAGAGGUUUGGUGCUUCGGGAACGCUA
Molecule: ribosomal RNA, 676 nt
Filed under: Alteromonas sp. UST020129-030
Lineage: Bacteria; Pseudomonadati; Pseudomonadota; Gammaproteobacteria; Alteromonadales; Alteromonadaceae
Description: bacterial SSU rRNA
Rfam family: Bacterial small subunit ribosomal RNA
Source: RNAcentral